CCUACUUGAUGAGUGACAAAGUGCAGAGCUAUAUGAAGCCGAAAGUAUAGCUAUGACUAGCGAAUACGUAGCCCCUCAUUCGGUUCCUCUUCUCAUUCAUUGAAAGUGUAACGUUAUCUAAGUCUUCGACAAGUUUUGAUCACAGAGGAUAGUGCAAAAUAAUAACAGCAGGUGAAGCAGUGCAAUGGCAUAUGUCCCAUGUCCUGUAGUUAUUGUCGCUCAGCUAAUGCUUGCUGGGAAUAGCACACGGGGCAACCUGUUCUCGUGCAAAUAUUUUGUGUACAACACAAGGUUCCAUUUAUGCAUUUUUCCUGCAAGACAUUGUUAAAGAUAAUGCUAGGUGAUUCAACUAGUUUUAAUAAACCGGACCAUUGAAUCAGUAGAAGAGUAUGUAUAUAGCUAGGUCAAAUACUAACAAGGUAGUCAUUCUUGUAAAGGAAAUUAACCAAAGAAUAAUUAUGUGCUGAUGUGCAUGCAGUAGACAUUCCCAACUAAUGACAGGCAGUUUACCGCUGUCCUUAAUGUGGAAAGUGUACAACCACUGUAUUCUGCCAAUUCUAACAUAUGGGACAGAAACUUGAGAAAAUAACAAAGAAAUUCGGGAAGAGCUUCAGAACCACACAGCAUGCAAUGGAAUGAAAAAUGGUAGGCGUAAAAUUAAGAGAUAGGAAGGCAGCAUAGUGGAUCACAGAACAGGUGGGUAGCCAAUAUCCUGGUAGUCAAAAAUUGACCUGAGCAGGUCAUGGCGUGAAAAGGACAGAUUACCGAUGGUCAGUUGGAGCAUCGGAAUAGACGCCAAGGGAUGGGAAGCACGGCCGAGGUUGACAAAGGCGCUAGGUGGCUCAAUGAAACAAAAAAAUUUGGAGGCAUAAGAUGCAAUGCCCUGCAUAGGACACGAUGGAUUGGCGAGGCCUUACUUCAGUAGGGGACGUGAAAUAGGCUGGUUAUUAUGCAAAAGUUUCCUGUAAAAGUACAUUUUUAGAGCGAAUUUGCAGACCUGUUUUAUAUUUUUUGAAAAACUACCUAACACUCGGUAUACAUUAUGUGUUGAUUGGAAGACAUUGGUGCACUUAUAUAGUGCUGCCUACUCCUUUUCACAGAUAAUAGGAUUAUUGAAAAUCUCUGCCCCAAAGAGAAAACAAAAAUGCCUAAAAUCGCACCUAUAGUCGGAUACAACUUAAGCAGUGCAGAGAGGCCCCUCCCUGAUGACCAAAGCAUGAUAGCCAUGCGCCUCUGUGGCUGAAGAAAUAGUUUCGCUCAUGUACUUGGCGAUGUUCUCCGAAGGUGGGGUGACCGGUCGUCCAGCUUGUGACAUUAGUCUAGAGUGCGCUCCCAUUCGUGCAGGCUUGUGUGCAUCCUCCUUUGAGGAGUAAAUGCCGUGGACUUCUAAAGCUGUAUUCUACUAUAGAGAGAGCUUGUCAGUCAAGCCGUAGCGAUUCGCAUAAAAGCAUGAAGUCCAUUCACAGAGUGUUGCUGCCAGAAGUAAAGGUCACACAAAGUCGCACAGUAUAGUAUGCUGUCGCUUCUCUUCUGCUGCGGGCCAGCAUAAACUUGCAAAACAGUCUUGCACUGUAUUUCGUAUAAACGUGCUUCUUUUAUUUCUAUUUUUUUGCUGCUAAGUGAAUUGUUUAAAAACUACUUCAAAUAUCCCAAAGCUGCAGCUCACAUGCAACAGUAAAUCGAGACAGCAUUGCUGAAAACGGACAAAGGUGAGAAAUGUGUAUCCGAUUCAUGCUUACUGCAAGGAAAGCACACCUCCAUCUCUCUCCCCACUUCUUUUCGUGUGCUGAUCUAAGAUGACUUUCUGUGGUGAGAAUAAUGCUUGGUGUGGCAUUGCUACACACAUUUGCAGGUAGAAAAUUAGAUUCCCACUGCUUGUGGAAAUGUUGAGAGCAACAGAAAAAUAAUUGUUUGUGUUCGUCAAUAUUUUUUCACAGUUCCUAGAUUUCCUUUUGCUGUAGCAAAGUAAGUUCCAUUGGAAGGGCCAACGACUACAUUUUUGUAAUGCCAUUUAGAAAAUCUUAAAAUGACCUUGCUUUUUCUUAUUCAGUAUUCAAUGGAAGGUUGCACUCUUUUAUCUUUGACCAGCACAAGCAUUAUGUCUUGAAGAAAGCAGCCAUUGCUGCUUCUUGAGAUAUUUGCUGCAGUAUUGCAUGCUUCUCUAAACUACGCAGGAGCAGCCAAGGCAACGGGGACGACUGUUCGCCACCCACAUCAUCCGCAAAGGCGGCGCUUGUUGACAAACUGGAUGCUGCAGCUCGUCCUGGCUGCAGCUCGACCUCCCCUACCAGUACAGCAAACCAGCUUGCCGGCAUGAAGGUGGAAGACAGCACUGACAUCACAUCAGGACCUGGUGCUCUUCAGUGCUGGCUUGAGAGCAUUGGUCUGCCUACCUGCUUUCCCAUCCUUCUGGAGAAAGGCAUCCGUGACAUGAAUGGCUUGAGACUGAUGAGCUUCAAGGUACGAUUACUGUAGUAAUG
This is a long non-coding RNA of Rhipicephalus sanguineus (brown dog tick), 2480 nucleotides long. RefSeq lists it as uncharacterized. Lineage: Eukaryota; Metazoa; Arthropoda; Arachnida; Ixodida; Ixodidae. The record is from RefSeq and is a predicted model, not a curated record. The transcript is spliced from 3 exons.